Molecule: transfer RNA, 72 nt
Filed under: Marmota marmota marmota (Alpine marmot)
Lineage: Eukaryota; Metazoa; Chordata; Mammalia; Rodentia; Sciuridae
Also listed under: 1 other name
Rfam family: tRNA
About the family: Transfer RNA (tRNA) molecules are approximately 80 nucleotides in length.
Source: Rfam by way of RNAcentral
GGGGGUGUAGCUCAGUGGUAGAGCACUUGCCUAGCAUGCAUGAUGUCUUGGGUUUGAUUCCCAGCACCACAA